AGAUUUGAAGGCAAUGGGGCUGCUACAUCUGCACCCCAGUGAUCGCCAGAGUUGAUUCCACUCAUCUGGCUGGCUACGCGGGUGACCCGUUCCUCCCUUGCCACUGCAUGUUCAUCCCUCCCAAAGCUGUGUAAUGGGUGGAGGAGGAUGACCUUCCCUGAUAAAGGAGGACCUCUCUUUGGUCAAGAGGAUGCAAGUAGCUGCACUCUUUGCUGGACCCUCAACACAAACCCUCAAGAUCCAUUAGUAACAGAAUGUACGGGGCAUCAAGGUUCAUAGAUUCCAGAUACAUCCAAAUGAGGUGCGGCAUGGGCAGUCUGCAUUUCUUA
This is a non-coding RNA of Felis catus (domestic cat), 329 nucleotides long. It matches the Rfam family "7SK RNA". From Rfam's summary of the family: 7SK was discovered as an abundant small nuclear RNA in the mid-70s but a possible function has only recently been suggested. NCBI's taxonomy places the organism in Eukaryota, Metazoa, Chordata, Mammalia, Carnivora, Felidae. The record is from Rfam.